RNAcentral lists this ribosomal RNA (1369 nucleotides) under uncultured bacterium. RNAcentral's name for it is "bacterial SSU rRNA". It matches the Rfam family "Bacterial small subunit ribosomal RNA", at positions 28 to 1381 of the family's 1533-position model. The record is from RNAcentral.
GACGAACGCUGGCGGCGUGCCUAAUACAUGCAAGUAGAACGCUGAAGAGAGGAGCUUGCUCUUCUUGGAUGAGUUGCGAACGGGUGAGUAACGCGUAGGUAACCUGCCUUGUAGCGGGGGAUAACUAUUGGAAACGAUAGCUAAUACCGCAUAACAAUGGAUGACACAUGUCAUUUAUUUGAAAGGGGCAAUUGCUCCACUACAAGAUGGACCUGCGUUGUAUUAGCUAGUAGGUGAGGUAAUGGCUCACCUAGGCGACGAUACAUAGCCGACCUGAGAGGGUGAUCGGCCACACUGGGACUGAGACACGGCCCAGACUCCUACAGGAGGCAGCAGUAGGGAAUCUUCGGCAAUGGGGGCAACCCUGACCGAGCAACGCCGCGUGAGUGAAGAAGGUUUUCGGAUCGUAAAGCUCUGUUGUAAGUCAAGAACGGGUGUGAGAGUGGAAAGUUCACACUGUGACGGUAGCUUACCAGAAAGGGACGGCUAACUACGUGCCAGCAGCCGCGGUAAUACGUAGGUCCCGAGCGUUGUCCGGAUUUAUUGGGCGUAAAGCGAGCGCAGGCGGUUUGAUAAGUCUGAAGUUAAAGGCUGUGGCUCAACCAUAGUUCGCUUUGGAAACUGUCAAACUUGAGUGCAGAAGGGGAGAGUGGAAUUCCAUGUGUAGCGGUGAAAUGCGUAGAUAUAUGGAGGAACACCGGUGGCGAAAGCGGCUCUCUGGUCUGUAACUGACGCUGAGGCUCGAAAGCGUGGGGAGCGAACAGGAUUAGAUACCCUGGUAGUCCACGCCGUAAACGAUGAGUGCUAGGUGUUGGAUCCUUUCCGGGAUUCAGUGCCGCAGCUAACGCAUUAAGCACUCCGCCUGGGGAGUACGACCGCAAGGUUGAAACUCAAAGGAAUUGACGGGGGCCCGCACAAGCGGUGGAGCAUGUGGUUUAAUUCGAAGCAACGCGAAGAACCUUACCAGGUCUUGACAUCCCUCUGACCACUCUAGAGAUAGAGUUUUCCUUCGGGACAGAGGUGACAGGUGGUGCAUGGUUGUCGUCAGCUCGUGUCGUGAGAUGUUGGGUUAAGUCCCGCAACGAGCGCAACCCCUAUUGUUAGUUGCCAUCAUUCAGUUGGGCACUCUAGCGAGACUGCCGGUAAUAAACCGGAGGAAGGUGGGGAUGACGUCAAAUCAUCAUGCCCCUUAUGACCUGGGCUACACACGUGCUACAAUGGCUGGUACAACGAGUCGCAAGCCGGUGACGGCAAGCUAAUCUCUUAAAGCCAGUCUCAGUUCGGAUUGUAGGCUGCAACUCGCCUACAUGAAGUCGGAAUCGCUAGUAAUCGCGGAUCAGCACGCCGCGGUGAAUACGUUCCCGGGCCU